This 1244-nucleotide ribosomal RNA is filed under the name metagenome. RNAcentral describes it as "bacterial SSU rRNA". It matches the Rfam family "Bacterial small subunit ribosomal RNA", at positions 242 to 1515 of the family's 1533-position model. The record is from RNAcentral.
UAGCUAGUUGGUGAGGUAAUGGCCCACCAAGGCGACGAUCGGUAGCCGGACUGAGAGGUUGAACGGCCACAUUGGGACUGAGACACGGCCCAGACUCCUACGGGAGGCAGCAGUGGGGAAUAUUGCACAAUGGGGGAAACCCUGAUGCAGCGACGCCGCGUGGAGGAAGAAGGUCUUCGGAUUGUAAACUCCUGUUGUUGAGGAAGAUAAUGACGGUACUCAACAAGGAAGUGACGGCUAACUACGUGCCAGCAGCCGCGGUAAAACGUAGGUCACAAGCGUUGUCCGGAAUUACUGGGUGUAAAGGGAGCGCAGGCGGGAAGACAAGUUGGAAGUGAAAUCCAUGGGCUCAACCCAUGAACUGCUUUCAAAACUGUUUUUCUUGAGUAGUGCAGAGGUAGGCGGAAUUCCCGGUGUAGCGGUGGAAUGCGUAGAUAUCGGGAGGAACACCAGUGGCGAAGGCGGCCUACUGGGCACCAACUGACGCUGAGGCUCGAAAGUGUGGGUAGCAAACAGGAUUAGAUACCCUGGUAGUCCACACUGUAAACGAUGAUUACUAGGUGUUGGAGGAUUGACCCCUUCAGUGCCGCAGUUAACACAAUAAGUAAUCCACCUGGGGAGUACGACCGCAAGGUUGAAACUCAAAGGAAUUGACGGGGGCCCGCACAAGCAGUGGAGUAUGUGGUUUAAUUCGACGCAACGCGAAGAACCUUACCAAGUCUUGACAUCCUGCGACGGACAUAGAAAUAUGUUUUUCCUUCGGGACGCAGAGACAGGUGGUGCAUGGUUGUCGUCAGCUCGUGUCGUGAGAUGUUGGGUUAAGUCCCGCAACGAGCGCAACCCUUAUGGUCAGUUACUACGCAAGAGGACUCUGGCCAGACUGCCGUUGACAAAACGGAGGAAGGUGGGGAUGACGUCAAAUCAUCAUGCCCUUUAUGACUUGGGCUACACACGUACUACAAUGGCGUUAAACAAAGAGAAGCAAGACCGCGAGGUGGAGCAAAACUCAGAAACAACGUCCCAGUUCGGACUGCAGGCUGCAACUCGCCUGCACGAAGUCGGAAUUGCUAGUAAUCGCAGAUCAGCAUGCUGCGGUGAAUACGUUCCCGGGCCUUGUACACACCGCCCGUCACACCAUGAGAGCCGGGGGGACCCGAAGUCGGUAGUCUAACCGCAAGGAGGACGCCGCCGAAGGUAAAACUGGUGAUUGGGGUGAAGUCGUAACAAGGUAACCGUACUAGUAC